This 408-nucleotide ribosomal RNA is filed under the name uncultured bacterium. RNAcentral describes it as "partial 16S ribosomal RNA". It matches the Rfam family "Bacterial small subunit ribosomal RNA", at positions 28 to 526 of the family's 1533-position model. The record is from RNAcentral.
GACGAACGCUGGCGGCGUGCUUAACACAUGCAAGUCGAACGAAGUGGCGAACGGGUGAGUAAUAAGUGAGUAACCUGCCCUCCUUUUUGGGAUAAGCCUUGGAAACGGGGUCUAAUACCGGAUAAAGGGGGAUGGGCUCGCGGCCUCUCAGCUUGUUGGUGGGGUGAUGGCCUACCAAGGCGACGACGGGUAGCCGGCCUGAGCGGGCGACCGGCCACAUUGGGACUGAGAGACGGCCCAAAUUCCUACGGGAGGCAGCAGUGGGGAAUAUUGCACAAGGGGGGAAACCCUGAUGCAGCAACGCCGCGUGCGGGAUGACGGCCUUCGGGUUGUAACCCGCUUUCAGCCAUGACGCGGUAGUGGCAGAAGAAGCACCGGCUAACUACGUGCCAGCAGCCGCGGUAAUAC